AUUGAACGCUGGCGGCAUGCCUUACACAUGCAAGUCGAACGGCAGCACGGGAGCAAUCCUGGUGGCGAGUGGCGAACGGGUGAGUAAAGUAUCGGAACGUGCCCAGUCGUGGGGGAUAACGUAGCGAAAGUUACGCUAAUACCGCAUACGAGCUAUGGAUGAAAGCGGGGGAUCGCAAGACCUCGCGCGAUUGGAGCGGCCGAUAUCCAAUUAGGGAGUUGGUGGGGUAAAGGCUCACCAAGCCGACGAUCUGUAGCUGGUCUGAGAGGACGACCAGCCACACUGGGACUGAGACACGGCCCAGACUCCUACGGGAGGCAGCAGUGGGGAAUUUUGGACAAUGGGCGCAAGCCUGAUCCAGCCAUGCCGCGUGCAGGAUGAAGGCCUUCGGGUUGUAAACUGCUUUUGUACGGAACGAAAAGGUUUGGCUUAAUACGUUGAACUCAUGACGGUACCGUAAGAAUAAGCACCGGCUAACUACGUGCCAGCCGCCGCAGUAA
This 500-nucleotide ribosomal RNA is filed under the name uncultured bacterium. Its description in RNAcentral is "partial 16S ribosomal RNA". It matches the Rfam family "Bacterial small subunit ribosomal RNA", at positions 30 to 523 of the family's 1533-position model. The record is from RNAcentral.